Long non-coding RNA from Cydia pomonella (codling moth), 256 nucleotides. RefSeq lists it as uncharacterized. The record is from RefSeq and is a predicted model, not a curated record. The transcript has 2 exons. NCBI's taxonomy places the organism in Eukaryota, Metazoa, Arthropoda, Insecta, Lepidoptera, Tortricidae.
CUACAAGUGCUGUGCCCCUAAGUUUUCGAAUAUAUUCAAGUGUAUCUGUUUUCCCCCGCUUUGGGGUCUACCCUACGGGCUAAUUCAACGUCCACGCCUGCCCUUAUCUGCUGCCCGGCGCUAACGCCAGGUUGCCACUACGCCAGGAACACCAGGACAGUAACGCCCAGCUACACACCGAUCCAAGUGCCACCACCACAGUAGGACAACGACCCACGUGAUUUAAGCCCAAUAAACCACUGCUGUACAAUUUGUA